AUUUUAUUUGCAGUUUUCUUGAUGAUUAGUGAUAUUGAACACCUUUUAAUAUACGUAUUGGCCAUUGUUAUGUCUUCUUUGGAGAAAUGUCUAUUCAGCUCUUUUGCCCAGUUUUAAAUCAGGUUAUUUGUUUUUCUAAUAUUGAGUCAUAUGAGUCCCUUAUAUAUUUUGGAUAUUAACCCCUUAUUGUACACAAAAUAUUGCAAAUAUUUUCUACUGUGGGAGCCAUGAUUGUGCCACUGCACUCCAGCCUGGACGACAGAGUGAGACCUUGUCUCAAAAA
This 283-nucleotide long non-coding RNA is filed under the name Pan troglodytes (chimpanzee). RNAcentral describes it as "long non-coding RNA NONPTRT010211". Lineage: Eukaryota; Metazoa; Chordata; Mammalia; Primates; Hominidae. The record is from RNAcentral.